RNAcentral lists this ribosomal RNA (460 nucleotides) under uncultured bacterium. Its description in RNAcentral is "partial 16S ribosomal RNA". It matches the Rfam family "Bacterial small subunit ribosomal RNA", at positions 355 to 833 of the family's 1533-position model. The record is from RNAcentral.
UGGGGAAUAUUGGACAAUGGGGGCAACCCUGAUCCAGCAAUGCCGCGUGUGUGAAGAAGGUCUUCGGAUUGUAAAGCACUUUCGACGGGGACGAUGAUGACGGUACCCGUAGAAGAAGCCCCGGCUAACUUCGUGCCAGCAGCCGCGGUAAUACGAAGGGGGCUAGCGUUGCUCGGAAUGACUGGGCGUAAAGGGCGUGUAGGCGGUUUACACAGUCAGAUGUGAAAUCCCCGGGCUUAACCUGGAGCUGCAUUUGAUACGUGUAGACUAGAGUGUGAGAGAGGGUUGUGGAAUUCCCAGUGUAGAGGUGAAAUUCGUAGAUAUUGGGAAGAACACCGGUGGCGAAGGCGGCAACCUGGCUCAUGACUGACGCUGAGGCGCGAAAGCGUGGGGAGCAAACAGGAUUAGAUACCCUGGUAGUCCACGCUGUAAACGAUGUGUGCUAGAUGUUGGGUACUUU